This 231-nucleotide ribosomal RNA is filed under the name uncultured eukaryote. RNAcentral's name for it is "partial small subunit ribosomal RNA". It matches the Rfam family "Eukaryotic small subunit ribosomal RNA", at positions 587 to 823 of the family's 1831-position model. The record is from RNAcentral.
AGCUCCAAUAGCGUAUAUUAAAGUUGUUGCAGUUAGAACGCUCGUAGUCGGAUUUCGGGGCGGUGCGACCGGUCUGCCGAUGGGUACGCACUGGUCGUGUCGUCCUUCCUUCCGGAGACCGUGCCUACUCUUAACUGAGCGGGUGCGGGAGACGGAACGUUUACUUUGAAAAAUCAGAGUGUUUCAAGCAGGCAGCUCGCUCUUGCAUGGAUUAGCAUGGGAUAAUGAAUA